RNAcentral lists this transfer RNA (74 nucleotides) under Thermogymnomonas acidicola. RNAcentral describes it as "tRNA-Val". It matches the Rfam family "tRNA". From Rfam's summary of the family: Transfer RNA (tRNA) molecules are approximately 80 nucleotides in length. Their secondary structure includes four short double-helical elements and three loops (D, anti-codon, and T loops). Further hydrogen bonds mediate the characteristic L-shaped molecular structure. tRNAs have two regions of fundamental functional importance: the anti-codon, which is responsible for specific mRNA codon recognition, and the 3' end, to which the tRNAs corresponding amino acid is attached (by aminoacyl-tRNA synthetases). tRNAs cope with the degeneracy of the genetic code in two manners: having more than one tRNA (with a specific anti-codon) for a particular amino acid; and 'wobble' base-pairing, i.e. permitting non-standard base-pairing at the 3rd anti-codon position. RNAcentral also lists the same sequence under 1 other name. Lineage: Archaea; Methanobacteriati; Thermoplasmatota; Thermoplasmata; Thermoplasmatales. The record is from RNAcentral.
GGGCCCGUGGUCUAGUGGUUAUGACAUCGCUCUCACACAGCGAAGGCCACCGGUUCAAAUCCGGUCGGGCCCAC